This 367-nucleotide ribosomal RNA is filed under the name uncultured bacterium. RNAcentral's name for it is "bacterial SSU rRNA". It matches the Rfam family "Bacterial small subunit ribosomal RNA", at positions 527 to 896 of the family's 1533-position model. The record is from RNAcentral.
GAAGGAUUCGAGCGUUAUCCGGAUUUAUUGGGUUUAAAGGGUGCGUAGGCGGACUGAUAAGUCAGCGGUGAAAGCCUGUUGCUUAACAACAGAACUGCCAUUGAUACUGCCAGUCUUGAGUACAGUUGAGGUAGGCGGAAUGUGUCAUGUAGUGGUGAAAUACUUAGAUAUGACACAGAACACCGAUUGCGAAGGCAGCUUGCUAAACUGUAACUGACGCUGAGGCACGAAAGCAUGGGGAGCAAACAGGAUUAGAUACCCUGGUAGUCCAUGCCCUAAACGAUGAUUACUCGAUGUGUGCGAUACACAGUACGCGUCUAAGCGAAAGCAUUAAGUAAUCCACCUGGGAAGUACGACCGCAAGGUUG